This is a long non-coding RNA of Suricata suricatta (meerkat), 1326 nucleotides long. RefSeq lists it as uncharacterized. Lineage: Eukaryota; Metazoa; Chordata; Mammalia; Carnivora; Herpestidae. The transcript has 2 exons. The record is from RefSeq and is a predicted model, not a curated record.
CGCCCGGGCUCCGGGGUCUCCCCGCGGGCAGCUGGGCGGGUCCCCAGGAGGGACGGUGGGGUGGCGCGGGUACCCUCCCGCAUGGCCUCUCCCCUGCACCCCGCUCUCCCGACUCCAGAUCCAGGUUGGGUCGUGGCCGCACGUUUCGGGGAUCUCCGGCCAAGAACGGAGUGGAUGUCCUGUGAAGGCAAGGAGAGGGUUUACUGUGGGCACCACUGUUCACCCCUCUCGCCCGACGGCUGGCGGAGAGAAAACGCUCAGGAAACAUUAAUUACAUGGACGAGUUGAAGACAGAACGAGUGAGUUGAUGUGUGCGCCAGGACACAAGGCCGUUUCUCCGGCUCAGGCCGUCAGUCCUGCCGGAGGACAGGCUUUGAGGAAGACGCCGGGAAUCCCAUAGCCAACGCCGGCGUCACAGAGUGGGGUCCACGUGUCCCCCGGCUGGGAACGGUGGUGGCCCCCCAUCUCACUUGCUCUGGGUAACAGUGGGCCUCCCCGUCUGGGACCGCGGCUGUGUGCGGGGCUCUGGGUCUGGAAGAGGAGAACUCAGGGGGCGGAGGGCUGAACCAAGCCAGACUGGUCAGCAAGGCGGCCUUGACCUCUCCCUUCUCCCCGCUGGGGCUGCGGGGAUGACUGGGGCCACGGCGGCCGCCUCGCAGCCACGAGAGUGACUGUCGCAGCUGAAGAUGGUGGACAGCGAGGCGAGGAUCCAGAUGCUUCCUGGCCUCGGCGAAGAGCUGCGCGGCCCGCCUUUGUCUGGGCUCCCGACGGCGAGAACCAGGACCCGCUUUACCGCUGUCGUCGGACACUGUCACCGCAGCCUGACGCAGGGAUGAGGAAUCCGCUUCGGAAAUCAAACACCAAAGAGCUUACGUUGUUCUUACCUGCUUUCUCAGGAAGGACAAAGAGUUGAUGGCCGGUGACACGGUUAUGCCUGGAUCCUGCUUAUUUCCCAGAGAAAAAUAUCAAAGUCUGAUUAGACGUGGGAUUGAUUUUUGAGGAGAUAUCCAUUCAACCAACACAUCUGAAAUGUGAAAAAAAAAAUAAAUAAAAGCUUGUAAUCUUGGAAAAAACAGCGUAAGUGACACUUUGAGACUGUUCCGGGGAACACGCACCAGGUCCAUUAGGGGAAGGGGCCCAUCAGCCAACAGCUUUUGGACGCAAACUAUCUUUUCCCAGAACCCUUUGCAGCCUCAGGACCCUUCUCAAGAGUCUUGUAAAUGAGGUCGCUGGAACCGGCUGGGGGGCGCUCAGGGACCCGCGAAAUGCUGAGCAAGCCUACGGGAGACGAAAAUUGAAAGAAAUAAAACAGCAGCCACCCACAGA